CCUUAACCUGCUAAAUAGUAGCGUUCACUUUGGUGGACGUCGACUUCUUAGAGGGACUGUGGACGUCAAGUCCAUGGAAGUUUGAGGCAAUAACAGGUCUGUGAUGCCCUUAGAUGUUCUGGGCCGCACGCGCGCUACACUGACGAUGGCAACAAGUGAUCUCCUUGUCCGGAAGGACCGGGUAAUCUUUUGAAACAUUGUCGUGCUGGGGAUAGUCCCUUGCAAUUAUUGGACUUGAACGAGGAAUUCCUAGUAAGCGCGAGUCAUCAGCUCGCGUUGAUUACGUCCCUGCCCUUUGUACACACCGCCCGUCGCUACUACCGAUUGAAUGGCUUAGUGAGACCUCCGGAUCGACGCCAGCUGAACGGCAACGUUUGGCGGGUGUUGAGAAGUUGGUCAAACUUGGUCAUUUAGAGGAAGUAAAAGUCG
Molecule: ribosomal RNA, 429 nt
Filed under: Chytridiomycota sp.
Lineage: Eukaryota; Fungi; Chytridiomycota
Description: SSU rRNA
Rfam family: Eukaryotic small subunit ribosomal RNA
Source: RNAcentral